RNAcentral lists this long non-coding RNA (214 nucleotides) under Elaeis guineensis (African oil palm). RNAcentral's name for it is "long non-coding RNA (EGUI_LNC040049)". Lineage: Eukaryota; Viridiplantae; Streptophyta; Magnoliopsida; Arecales; Arecaceae. The record is from RNAcentral.
GUGGAGAGCAAGGAGCUUUAUAUAAGUUUUUUUAAUUAUUUUUAUUGAUAUUUUAAUUUUUAGUAUCAAUUUAGAAUAGUUAUAACUUUAAUUUUCAAGAUCGUAUGAUAGAGAUGAGAUCCCACUUUAUCUCUGAGGGCUCGAUUGUACCCACAGAUAAGGAGAUCUGUGAUCAGGUGCUUGGUAUGAGAUUCUAUUAUAUUAGGAGGUUAGA